This 1834-nucleotide unclassified non-coding RNA is filed under the name Leishmania donovani. Its description in RNAcentral is "gene:LdHU3.26.0060(CDS-product:protein_kinase_put ative)". The record is from RNAcentral. Lineage: Eukaryota; Euglenozoa; Kinetoplastea; Trypanosomatida; Trypanosomatidae.
UUUGCUGCUCUCCAACACGGAGCGCUGCCGGGCUUUCGCAGUACAGCCUGCUCAGGCCCGCCGGUGGGGUGGUGCAUCUUUGCGCGUUGUGCUACCGGAAGCACACACACACACACACACAAGCGGAGGCCGUGAACCCUUCCGUGAUUCCCUCUACCGUCGCGUCCCCUCGUCCUCGUUCGCGCCGCGCCAUUUUUUUUUUUCGUCUCUGCCGGACAGCAUGGACAAGUACGCGCUGGGGCCUGUUAUCGGGGAGGGCCAGUUUGGGAGUGUGCGCAUGGCGACAGUCAAGGCCACCGGGCAGACAGUUGCCGUGAAACUGCUACAUGUGCCUCGGCUUACGGAGGGCAUUCCGCAUCCGGUGGCGCGGGAGCUUCUCAUUGCCUCUCGUGUCGCCUCGCCGUUUCUGGUGAAGACCAUCGAGAUUGCACCGUAUGGGUCCCACAUGGCUGUGGUGAUGGAGCGCUGUAUGGAGGACUUGGCGUGUGUCUUGCGCAAGUGCAGUCCGGCUCACCCGCUUCCGCUGCUGUUGACGCAGUCGUAUAUGCGCAUGCUUCUCACCGCGCUGCACGCAUUGCACUCGAGCGGUAUUCUACACCGCGAUGUGAAACCGUCGAACUGCUUUGUUGCUGUGGAUGGGUGCCUCAAGCUCGGCGACUUUGGCCUCAGCCGCCCACUAUGCUCAGACAUGUCACACGAGGUUGUGUCGCGCUGGUACCGCGCGCCGGAGCUGCUUUUUGGCCAGCGACGCUACGGGGGCGAGGUGGACCUCUGGGCGGCUGGGUGCGUCUUCGCCGAACUCCUGCGUGGCCACGGCCGCCCUUUCUUUACAGGCGAUGGGGAUAUCAGCCAGAUCGCGAAGAUAUUUGACGUCUUCGGUACCCCCACGGGCGGGACGUGUAGCUUCUACCGCCAGCUGCCUGACUGGGAGAAGGUUUAUUUCGAAGAGAAAAAGGGAACUGGCCUGCGUGUGCUGCUGCCUUUUGUGCCCCCUGAGGCGCUUGACUUGUUGACGAAAAUGCUAGCCCUUGAUCCGGCAUCUCGGUGCAGCGCCGCAGAGGCGCUCAGCCAUCCAUUUUUCGCUCUCUCAGAUAUCUUGCUGCGCGUAUGAAAUUCUGAAAGACAAUUGAGAGCGCCGAAGUUCCACUGAAGCAAGUAGAGAGAACUCAACCCCGACUACUCUACAGGCCCUCGCUCCCCCCUGGCGCCGCAAAAAAAAAGAAAGAAGACGUAUGUGCGCCUCCGGCGGUCACUGACGCUGUAGAAUCCCCUCUUGGCCUUCUCACAACCUUAUUGGUGUGUCUGGAACCUGUCAUUGUGGCGCGCAGGCAUGUCGCGGAUGUGCUGCGUCUGAACAAAGCCGGAGGAAGGAUGCCUGACCUCUUGUGCUUACGGGCGCCACCUUCCCUCCAAAGUGUACGCAGAUGGCUUCUCACAGAUGCCCUGCCCGGCGUGUAUGUCAUGCAGGAAGAUACUCUUGUGAACCCAUUUGCUCGGUGCUGAUGAUGGUGACGCGCUGAGAGCGCAGGGUGGAACUCGGGAACGGUGCAGGGCCUAAGAGGGCUCUGAACUGACGCAGGGAGAACUUCCUUCUUGACCUUACGUGGCAUGCCCCUGAACUGACCACUGUUACACGGAGGACAGGCGCCACCGCCUGCGCCUUCGCGCAAGACGGUGGAAUCAACCCCGUUUGGAUGAAAGCAUUGAGUCCACCCGAGUGUCCGCCUUGCGCCACCCGCGUAGCACGUACCGGGAGACUUCACGUGAAAGGGCAAGAGGAAGCCGUACGAUGUAUUUCCCCGAUUCCGCGGCUCACUGCGAGUGCGAGAGGGCU